Molecule: ribosomal RNA, 754 nt
Filed under: uncultured bacterium
Lineage: Bacteria
Description: bacterial SSU rRNA
Rfam family: Bacterial small subunit ribosomal RNA
Source: RNAcentral
CGGCUGAUUAAGUCGGAUGUGAAAUCCCUGAGCUUAACUUAGGAAUUGCAUUCGAUACUGGUCAGCUAGAGUAUGGGAGAGGAUGGUAGAAUUCCAGGUGUAGCGGUGAAAUGCGUAGAGAUCUGGAGGAAUAACGAUGGCGAAGGCAGCCAUCUGGCCUAAUACUGACGCUGAGGUACGAAAGCAUGGGGAGCAAACAGGAUUAGAUACCCUGGUAGUCCAUGCCGUAAACGAUAUCUACUAGCCGUUGGGGCCUUUGAGGCUUUAGUGGCGCAGCUAACGCGAUAAGUAGACCGCCUGGGGAGUACGGUCGCAAGACUAAAACUCAAAUGAAUUGACGGGGGCCCGCACAAGCGGUGGAGCAUGUGGUUUAAUUCGAUGCAACGCGAAGAACCUUACCUGGUCUUGACAUAGUAAGAACUUUCCAGAGAUGGAUUGGUGCCUUCGGGAACUUACAUACAGGUGCUGCAUGGCUGUCGUCAGCUCGUGUCGUGAGAUGUUGGGUUAAGUCCCGCAACGAGCGCAACCCUUUUCCUUAUUUGCCAGCACUUCGGGUGGGAACUUUAAGGAUACUGCCAGUGACAAACUGGAGGAAGGCGGGGACGACGUCAAGUCAUCAUGGCCCUUACGACCAGGGCUACACACGUGCUACAAUGGUCGGUACAAAGGGUUGCUACCUAGCGAUAGGAUGCUAAUCUCAAAAAGCCGAUCGUAGUCCGGAUUGGAGUCUGCAACUCGACUCCAUGAAGUCGGA